GAAAAGUAAUACAAUAUCGCACAGCUUUCUGAUUGGACCUUUUUACCUGCUUCUGUUAUUCAAACGAAAACUUUGACAGAAACAAAUUGGACCUCGUACCUCGAAGUGAAAAAAAGAAAAUGGAAUUCGUUUCGUCUAAUCUCGAUGCCGCAGAUAACGCCAGCCGAAGUCCAAAAAAUAUAAAUCAAAUGGAAAUCUUUUAUAGCGAUUUGUGUGAAGAUUUCAGAUGUUAAUUCGUCAUUUGACAGUCAAUACCAUCCCCGGCCAUGUCACUACCGUUCUACUGACGGAGGUUCACCUCGUCCUGGUCCUUUUUUUUCCAGUCUAUGCCAUCAGUAGUCGGUGUCACC
Molecule: long non-coding RNA, 350 nt
Organism: Wyeomyia smithii (pitcher-plant mosquito)
Lineage: Eukaryota; Metazoa; Arthropoda; Insecta; Diptera; Culicidae
Exons: 3
Source: RefSeq, a predicted model, not a curated record